Paramisgurnus dabryanus is the source of this 244-nucleotide non-coding RNA. NCBI's taxonomy places the organism in Eukaryota, Metazoa, Chordata, Actinopteri, Cypriniformes, Cobitidae. The record is from RefSeq and is a predicted model, not a curated record.
AAACGGUCAGUUUGACAGACACGGCUGAGACUGUCCUUUUAUUCAAUCUUUCACAUAAUAAGGAAACAAGACUCGAACAAAAUCUCAUUUUAUCUUUGCAACGACGCCACCUAGAGUAAUAGUACAAGGAUUACAACCAGGUCAAGGGUACUUCAAUGUCAUUCAAGGCGAACAGAAGGAGUGGCCUAAACCAGUGGUCUCCAACAUGGUGCCCGUGGCUGCCCGCACAGAGCCUGUGAGUUGC